RNAcentral lists this ribosomal RNA (497 nucleotides) under uncultured bacterium. Its description in RNAcentral is "partial 16S ribosomal RNA". It matches the Rfam family "Bacterial small subunit ribosomal RNA", at positions 28 to 507 of the family's 1533-position model. The record is from RNAcentral.
GAUGAACGCUGGCGGCGUGCCUAAUACAUGCAAGUCGAGCGAACAGACGAGGAUCUUGCUCCUCUGACGUUAGCGGCGGACGUGUGAGUAACACGUGGAUAACCUACCUAUAAGACUGGGAUAACUUCGGGAAACCGGAGCUAAUACCGGAUAAUAUAUUGAACCGCAUGGUUCAAUAGUGAAAGACGGUUUUGCUGUCACUUAUAGAUGGAUCCGCGCCGCAUUAGCUAGUUGGUAAGGUAACGGCUUACCAAGGCAACGAUGCGUAGCCGACCUGAGAGGGUGAUCGGCCACACUGGAACUGAGACACGGUCCAGACUCCUACGGGAGGCAGCAGUAGGGAAUCUUCCGCAAUGGGCGAAAGCCUGACGGAGCAACGCCGCGUGAGUGAUGAAGGUCUUCGGAUCGUAAAACUCUGUUAUUAGGGAAGAACAAAUGUGUAAGUAACUAUGCACGUCUUGACGGUACCUAAUCAGAAAGCCACGGCUAACUACGUG